CCCUCCCAUCACCUUUCUCUUCUUCGUCGCCUGCAGUCUCUCUUUCCCAGUCCCGAAUCUUCCCUCUCCUCCACGCCCUCUGCGAGGGUCGGCGCCUCGGCGGGCGAACGUCGAGCUCCUCCUCGUCUCAUCGGCUCGUCGCUCCUCGUCCCCAACCCCGACCUCGAGCUUCUCCUACUCCUCGUCACGCCGGCCGCCGCGCACCCUUUGACCUCGACAGAUCGACCUCGCCGCCGAGCCCCCGACACCAACGGCAGCUCUUCUCAUCCUCUCCCCCCUCAGAAACCACCCUCAGAUGGAACCGGCAAAGAACGGGAAGGGCAAGGAGAACACAGAAGAGCAUAAGAAUGAAACAGAAGAGAAGCUAGUUGUGGACAUUGCGGACAAUGAUUAUAUAGAUGCAGUUGAAGAAACAAACUCCAUUUCCACUGAUACCCUUGUGAGUGAGAGUGAUUCUGAGAGUGACGAUUCCGAGAGUGACGCACCUCAACGAGCGCCAAGCAACAGAACCCGAGGAGGAGGACGAGGAGGCAAUAGAACCCGAGGAGGAGGAGGAGGGCGAGGGGGCAACAGAACCCGGGGAGGAGGAGGACGAGGGGCUAACAGAAUCCGAGGAGGAAGAAGAGGGGGUACGGGACACACUAGUGGUUAGCAUCUUUAUCGGCAUUGCCAAAAUAUUAGUGCAAUUUGAAUGAUGUUGCAAUUGCCUUAGGUCUGGAACUCCAAACUUCUAACUUUAAUCCUUUGUUAGCCGUUCUUACCAUAGUUCAGGCUUCAACACCGUAGCGGCUUCUAUGUUGUGUGAUCUCGAUACCAUGUUUGGUUUUGAGCUCCAGUAAUUCAGAGCUUGCAUACAUUUAGUUCUUUGCCUUCUGUCUAUUUCUUGCUGUUUGAGUAUCUAGGACUUCUGGACGGGCUAAUCACGUGGUAUCAUGCUUCUA
Non-coding RNA from Triticum urartu, 941 nucleotides. Lineage: Eukaryota; Viridiplantae; Streptophyta; Magnoliopsida; Poales; Poaceae. The record is from RefSeq and is a predicted model, not a curated record.